CAUAGAUCUUCUCUCUGACAGGCCCGGCUGAAACGGAGGAGGCAGAGCCGCCGGCCAGAUCAGUUGCCGGGCCACAGUCUGAUAAGGGUUUCUCCCCUGUCGCAGGGAGAUUGCGCAAUAAGCACGAGGUGGUGCCAGAUACAACCUCCCAGGCUUUCCCACUUAGACAGGGAACCGGUGGCCAGACCCAAUACUGGCCGUUUUCAGCAGCUGACAUUUACAAUUGGAAACAAAACAACCCUUCUUUCUCCAAAGAUCCGGUGGCACUCACCGACCUAAUAGAAUCUGUUUUACUUACCCACCAGCCUACUUGGGAUGACUGCCAACAGGUCUUACAGGCCCUCUUAACCUCAGAAAAAAAACAAAGAGUGUUCCUAGAGGCCAGAAAGCAUGUUCUGGGAGAUGAUGGGCGUCCCACCCAGCUGCCUGAGAAAAUUGAUGCUGCAUUCCCACUUAAGAGACCAAACUGGGAUUUUAAUACAGCUGAAGGUAAGGGACACCUACGCCUUUAUCGCCAGUUGCUUCUAGCGGGUCUCCGAGGGGCUAUACGACGCCCUACUAAUUUGGCUCAGGUAAACAGGAAGCAGGGGAAACUCCCUCUGCCUUUCUAGAGAGACUUAAGGAGGCCUACCGUAUGUACACUCCCUAUGACCCAGAUGACCCAGGACAAAUGACGAGUGUCUCUAUGUCCUUCAUCUGGCAGGCUGCUCCAGAUAUCAGGACUAAGUUACAGAGGUUAGAAAAUUUACAGGGCUAUACAUUACAGGAUUUACUUAAAGAAGCUGAAAAGAUUUUUAAUAAGAGAAAGAAUUGAGUCGAAUCUUGGCCGCCGUAGUUCAGGGCCAAGAAAGGAAGGGAGAUAGGGGGGGAGCUCGAAAGGGGCUGAAGCUGGAUAAAGAUCAAUGUGCCUAUUACAAAGAGAAAGGGCACUGGGCCAAAGAGUGCCCCAAGAAGCCUGGCGGACCCCGAAAGCCUCGACCACGAACCUCCCUCUUGGCUCUAGAUAAAGAUUAGGGAGGUCAGGGCCAGGAGCCCCCCCCCCCCUGAGCCCAGGGUAACGCUUAAAGUUGGGGGGCAGCCGGUUACUUUCCUGGUAGACACAGGAGCCCAGCAUUCAGUCCUCACCCAAGCUUCAGGACAACUCAGCGACCGGACGGCCUGGGUACAAAGAGCUACUGGUGAGAAACAAUACCGAUGGACUACGGGCCGCCGGGUUCAGCUGGCUACUGGUAAGGUGACCCAUUCCUUCUUACAUGUUCCGGACUGCCCGUACCCUCUGCUGGGCCGUGACCUGCUCACCAAACUAAAAGCACAAAUUCAUUUUGAGGAAGGAGGGGCCCAAAUAACUGGCCCCCACGGAACUCCCCUUCAAGUUCUAACCCUAUGAACCAGGACAGGACACUGGCUUGGACAGAGACUGGUGGGAUGGGGUUGGCGCUCCAACAGCCCCCCUUAAUUACAACUCCAGUCUCCAUAAAACAAUACCCCCUGUCACAUGAAGCUUAUCAAGGUAUAAGGCCUCACAUUACGAGGCUUCUGGAUCAAGGCAUCCUAGUCCCCUGCUGGUCGCCUUGGAAUACGCCUCUUCUGCCUGUUAAGAAACCCGACACUAGAGAUUAUAGGCCAGUACAAGACUUGAGAGAGGUCAACAAGAGGAUAGAAGAUAUUCAUCCGACUGUUCCAAACCCUUACAAUUUGCUCAGUAACUGUUCAUCGAUGAGAAACAGGGGUAUGCUAAAGGGUCCUAACACAAAGGUUGGGACCCUAGAAACGCCCUGUGGCCUACCUGUCUAAGAAAUUGGACCCUGUGGCCUCCGGCUGGCCACCGUGCCUAAGGAUGGUGGCUGCUAUUGCUGUCCUGAUCAAGGAUGCUAGAAAAUUGACUUUGGGACAGCCACUCACCAUCCUAGCACCCCACACAGUGGAGGCCUUGGUAAAGCAGCCCCCAGACCGCUGGCUCUCUAAUUCUCACACCAAGCCUUGUUACUGGAUGCAGAACAGGUUCAGUUUGGGCCCGUAGUCACCCUCAAUCCUGCCACCUUGCUUCCUCUACCAGAGGAGGCAGAACAGCAUGACUGCCUACAAAUCCUCGCAGAAGUACAUGGAACCAGGCCGGACCUAUCGGACCAGCCUCUUCAGAAUGCUGACCACACAUGGUACACGGAUGACAACAGCUUCUUGGCAGAGGGAGAGCGAAAGGCUAGAGCUGCGGUCACUACGGAGGACAAAGUGAUUUGGGCGAAAGCCCUGCCUGCUGGUACCUCCGCACAACGGGCUGAACUCAUCGCCUUGACUCAGGCGCUCAAGAUGACAAAAGCCCUUCUCUGAGGGCCCAUUUACAGGCCCUACAGAUUGUGCAGAGAGACGUCUAGAGACCUUUGGCCGCUGCUUACCAGGACAAGCUUGAACAUCCGGUGGUGCUACACCCGUUCCAGAUUGGAGAUACCGUGUGGGUGCGCAGACACCAGACCAAGAAUCUCGAGCCACGGUGGAAAGGACCCUACACCGUCCUCCUGACUACCCCGACCGCCCUAAAGGUAGACGGAGUCGCGGCUUAGAUCCACGCAUCACACGUCAAGACAGUCCGGUCUGAGGAAUUGCAACACUACACCCCAGACAUGGAGAGUUCAGCGCACUCCAAACCCCUUAAAGUUAAAACUCCUAUGUGGCUCCUCCUAGUCCUUUUGUGGCCUAGAGUCAGUGGGGGAAUAAGCCCCCACCAGACAGAAAUUUCUUGACCAAGUCGAGUGAAAGAUUUCACUCAAAGUUAGCAAAAAAUGGGGGAAUGAAAGACCCCAGCUUAGCAGCAGUAACGCCAUUUUGCAAGGCUGUACUUAAGAUGACUGGUUCAGGGAAAGGUUAGAACACUGAGUACACAGCGGCUGCCAAGCAAGAUAUGUUUGGUUGAAGGCCUGGCAACAGGACGACUUCGGUUGAGCACCUGACAAUGAAAAAAAAGCCCCGGGAGAGGUCCCACACCCUGGUGGGGGGCCGAGUCAGUCGUUAUGUUCCAAGAAGGUAGCUAAGAAACUUGCCCCCGGGCUGAACCCUUGGGGGCCGAGUCAGUCCUUAUGUUUCAGGAAGGUAGCUAGGAAACUUGCCCCCGGGCUAAACCCUUGCCAUAUUAGAAUCCACCAAUUAUAUCCCUGUAACCAUGCAUCUGCUUCUGUAUGCUUGCUUCUGCUCCCCAAAAUCCUAUAAAAGCCCAUCCUUGGUUCCGUGGGGCGCGCCAGUCCCCCGAGUGACUGAAGCGCCCGCAGGUGCCUGUGCCUGUGUAUCCCGACAAUAAACCAAAUCCUCUUGCUGAUUG
This is a long non-coding RNA of Rattus norvegicus (Norway rat), 3310 nucleotides long. RefSeq lists it as uncharacterized. The record is from RefSeq and is a predicted model, not a curated record. Lineage: Eukaryota; Metazoa; Chordata; Mammalia; Rodentia; Muridae.